GUAAGAUAGAAAAUAAAAGAGAAAUUUGACAUUGAUCGUGGAUAGUUGUAGCUGUUAACUUUUUUUCUGUCCCUUAAAUCGUAGGUGCAGUGUCCUAGACAAGGACAUUAACUGACUAGGGAUUCCUCAUCUCUGCCAGAUGGAGGAAAUAAGAAGCUGAAGGGAUAUAUUUUUGCAGUGUUUACAGUGCAUGGAAGUUUCCUUAAAUACAUAAUCAGAGAACUCACUGAUGAACAUCCUCGCUCCAUCCAAGGUCCAGCAGCAUCCCCGCCUAAACCAUUGACCACUGACAAGACAAAAUGUUAGGUAAGAGAAGCUGCAUAUCAAGACCAUUCCUUUUGUAGCAGCAUCCAGGUAACGAUCCCCAAAGUGAAUUAUUCUUUGGCAAAAAUUACACAGAUAAUUCCUCUAAUUCUUUGAAUUUCUAAAUGUUUAAAUGAGUACCAACAUUACAUUCAGUUAAACAACUAGAUAUUUUAAAACAACUGGAUGAACUCAGUUUAUAAUUUAUUAGUAAAUAGAGUAGCUUGCCUAAAUAUACUCUCGAUUGACAUUUUUUACCUCUGAAUUGCUUUGUGUGUGAUGUGAAGACUAGAAAUUCGGUUUUAAGAGGCAAGGCUGCCCAGAGAGAUUCUGUGUAUUGGUGGUAGAAAAGGGAUAAGUUAGAAAAAAUACAUAUACAGGAGCAUUUCUUUCCUCUCUCUACUAUUCAAGAAUUGUUGGAACAUUUAGAUCUUUAUAGACACUCAUCACUUUAGGUUCCCUUGACAUUUCUGUCUAAUUUCUAAACAACCUGUUUUAAACUAUAAGGGCCAGUGUUGUGCAACAGCAGAUUAAGCUGCCACUUUAACUACAUUGCAGUGCUGGUUUGAGUCCUAGCUACUCUGCCAGCAAUCCAGCUUCCUGCUAAUGGACCCGAGAAGGCAGAAUAAAAUGACCCAAGUCCUUGAACCCCUGCCA
Molecule: long non-coding RNA, 960 nt
Filed under: Oryctolagus cuniculus (rabbit)
Lineage: Eukaryota; Metazoa; Chordata; Mammalia; Lagomorpha; Leporidae
Description: lncRNA (ENSOCUG00000030176.1)
Source: RNAcentral